AGCAGCCGCGGUAAUUCCAGCUCCAAUAGCGUAUAUUAAAGUUGUUGCAGUUAAAAAGCUCGUAGUUGAAUUUCGGGAUCGACGGGUCGGUCGCGCCUCUGGUGUGUACUGGCCCUGUCGGUUUCUCCCUUCUGAAGAACCGCGAUGUCAUUAAUUUGGUGUCGUGGGGAAUCAGGACUGUUACUUUGAAAAAAUUAGAGUGUUUAAAGCAGGCAUUCGCUUGAAUACAUUAGCAUGGAAUAAUGAAAUAGGACGUUUGAUCUUAUUUUGUUGGUUUCUAAGAUCGACGUAAUGAUUAAUAGGGAUAGUUGGGGGCAUUAGUAUUCAAUUGUCAGAGGUGAAAUUCUUGGAUUUAUUGAAGACUAACUACUGCGAAAGCAUUUGCCAAGGAUGUUUUCAUUAAUCAAGAACGAAAGUUAGGGGAUCGAAGACGAUCAGAUACCGUCGUAGUCUUAACCAUAAACUAUGCCGACUAGGGAUCGGAUGAUGUUAAUUUUUAAUGACUCAUUCGGCGCCUUAC
This 520-nucleotide ribosomal RNA is filed under the name uncultured Glomus. RNAcentral describes it as "SSU rRNA". It matches the Rfam family "Eukaryotic small subunit ribosomal RNA", at positions 569 to 1091 of the family's 1831-position model. The record is from RNAcentral. Lineage: Eukaryota; Fungi; Glomeromycota; Glomeromycetes; Glomerales; Glomeraceae.